Molecule: ribosomal RNA, 462 nt
Filed under: Streptococcus mitis
Lineage: Bacteria; Bacillati; Bacillota; Bacilli; Lactobacillales; Streptococcaceae
Description: bacterial SSU rRNA
Rfam family: Bacterial small subunit ribosomal RNA
Source: RNAcentral
GACGAACGCUGGCGGCGUGCCUAAUACAUGCAAGUAGAACGCUGAAGGAGGAGCUUGCUUCUCCGGAUGAGUUGCGAACGGGUGAGUAACGCGUAGGUAACCUGCCUGGUAGCGGGGGAUAACUAUUGGAAACGAUAGCUAAUACCGCAUAAUAGCAGUUAUUGCAUGAUAACUGUUUGAAAGGUGCAAUUGCACCACUACCAGAUGGACCUGCGUCGUAUUAGCUAGUUGGUGGGGUAACGGCUCACCAAGGCGACGAUACAUAGCCGACCUGAGAGGGUGAUCGGCCACACUGGGACUGAGACACGGCCCAGACUCCUACGGGAGGCAGCAGUAGGGAAUCUUCGGCAAUGGACGGAAGUCUGACCGAGCAACGCCGCGUGAGUGAAGAAGGUUUUCGGAUCGUAAAGCUCUGUUGUAAGAGAAGAACGAGUGUGAGAGUGGAAAGUUCACACUGUGACG